ACGCUAGCUACAGGCUUAACACAUGCAAGUCGAGGGGAAACGGCAUUAAGUGCUUGCACUUUUUGGACGUCGACCGGCGCACGGGUGAGUAACGCGUAUCCAACCUUCCCAUGACUAAGGGAUAACCUGCCGAAAGGCAGACUAAUACCUUAUGGUCUUCACCGACGGCAUCAGAUGUGAAGUAAAGAUUUAUCGGUUAUGGAUGGGGAUGCGUCUGAUUAGCUUGUUGGCGGGGUAACGGCCCACCAAGGCGACGAUCAGUAGGGGUUCUGAGAGGAAGGUCCCCCACAUUGGAACUGAGACACGGUCCAAACUCCUACGGGAGGCAGCAGUGAGGAAUAUUGGUCAAUGGGCGAGAGCCUGAACCAGCCAAGUAGCGUGCAGGAUGACGGCCCUAUGGGUUGUAAACUGCUUUUGUAUGGGGAUAAAGUCAAUCACGUGUGAUUGUUUGCAGGUACCAUACGAAUAAGGACCGGCUAAUUCCGUGCCAGCAGCCGCGGUAAUACGGAAGGUCCGGGCGUUAUCCGGAUUUAUUGGGUUUAAAGGGAGCGUAGGCUGGAGAUUAAGUGUGUUGUGAAAUGUAGACGCUCAACGUCUGACUUGCAGCGCAUACUGGUUUCCUUGAGUACGCACAACGUUGGCGGAAUUCGUCGUGUAGCGGUGAAAUGCUUAGAUAUGACGAAGAACUCCGAUUGCGAAGGCAGCUGACGGGAGCGCAACUGACGCUGAAGCUCGAAGGUGCGGGUAUCGAACAGGAUUAGAUACCCUGGUAGUCCGCACAGUAAACGAUGGAUGCCCGCUGUUGGUACCUGGUAUCAGCGGCUAAGCGAAAGCAUUAAGCAUCCCACCUGGGGAGUACGCCGGCAACGGUGAAACUCAAAGGAAUUGACGGGGGCCCGCACAAGCGGAGGAAC
RNAcentral lists this ribosomal RNA (914 nucleotides) under uncultured bacterium. RNAcentral describes it as "bacterial SSU rRNA". It matches the Rfam family "Bacterial small subunit ribosomal RNA", at positions 33 to 938 of the family's 1533-position model. The record is from RNAcentral.